Molecule: ribosomal RNA, 301 nt
Filed under: uncultured bacterium
Lineage: Bacteria
Description: partial 16S ribosomal RNA
Rfam family: Bacterial small subunit ribosomal RNA
Source: RNAcentral
CAGUCGCCGCGGGAACACAGAGGGUGCGAGCGUUAAUCGGAUUUACUGGGCGUAAAGCGUGCGUAGGCGGCUUCUUAAGUCGGAUGUGAAAUCCCUGAGCUUAACUUAGGAAUUGCAUUCGAUACUGGGAAGCUAGAGUAUGGGAGAGGAUGGUAGAAUUCCAGGUGUAGCGGUGAAAUGCGUAGAGAUCUGGAGGAAUACCGAUGGCGAAGGCGGCCCCCUGGACAAAGACUGACGCUCAGGUGCGAAAGCGUGGGGAGCAAACAGGAUUAGAUACCCGUGUAGUCCCUGUCUCUUAUAC